CCUCCCCUCUUUGUCCUAUCCUAGAUGGACACAUCUGUCACUUUUAAGUCCCUAUUGCUCAUCUGUCACGGUCCACAACCAAGAAGAGACAAGGGAAGGGGCCAGAUGAAUGUUCUGCCACCAAGAGGAAGACUUUGACAUUUAAAAAAUUCUCCAUCUCUCUCCAAGUGUCCCAUCCCCAACUCAGAAAUAAUAAUAAUGAAAAAUCCAUGAAGAGGACAUUAAUAUGUUGCAGAUGAAGACACUGAGGCUUGGAGAACUUAAAUUGCCCAAAGAGCUUCUCACACCUGUUUUUUAAUAAUUCUCAGGAAAGUACUUAAGCCCCAAGAUCAUGUGAAGGAGAGGCUACAAUCCUGUCGGGAAAGAACUUGAGUCUUUCUUCCAGUCAUAGCUCCCCCAUCUCUCCAUUUUGGACGUCGGCCCAGGCAAACCCAGAAGACGUGUCUGGAGGGAAGGGUGCCGCAAGACUCUCCAUUAUAGCUGCCGUCAUGGACAGCACAUUUGAUUACAGGUCCCCAUCAAGGUGAUGCUGUUGUUUCUGCAUAUGUCAUCUCUGCCAGCUUUUGUAGUUAAAUUUCCUCUAGCACCGUAGGGAGGUAAGAUCUGCUUCUCUUCCCAGAGGCUGGAGACGGGAGACAGCAAAGAGUUUGUUAUCAUGGAAACCACGUCUCCCCCUGGGCCCCAAGGGGCACUUCUGGAAAUGGUUCGGAAUUUGAUCACAGUCUUCAAGCGUGGUUAAAAGCUGUUAUUUCCUCGUGUCUGAUAAAUGGUUGUCGAGAAGCUGACAGUUCUGGUUUCGCUGGGGAAGAUUGGACUGGGGGAGGACGUGGGUCAGGCAAAUGGGAACAGAUAACAGGAUGGGGGUGGCAGAUCCUCGGACCCCUGCACAGCACCCCAGACUGACAGGAUGGUUUGGAGAUGGUCCCAUCUUGGCUCACUGUCAAGAGUCAGAAAGUCAAAGGAACAUUGAGGUUAGGUGGAGCAUCGAAAAUGACGUACCCUUACCUCACAAGUGGCUCAGCUUUAAAGAAAGAAAUAGAAAAACUUGGAUAACAGUCACCAACUCUGAGGGCCUUGGAAAAAAAUUCUCCAAAAACAUUUUGAGGGAUUGCAAACUCAAAUACCUGCAGGAAUCAAAAGGAAAAUGCCAUAGAGUGAAGUUGAAAUGAGCUUGGCGAGGCUUUGGGGAAACAGGAGAGCACACACCUCAUCUAAAGGGGGUGGCAGGUACCAGCUCCAGCCCUGGCCAAUUCCCCACUUCUCUAGGAAAAGCCCCAAAUCUGGAAUUCUAGAUAAAAAUCUCCCAACAUUUAAAUGUAAGCUAAGAAUUGAAACAUUUUUUAAUCACAUCGAAGGCCAAAUAAAACAUGUCUGAAGGUCAAAUCCAGUUUAUUCAUUUCAGUUUGCAAACUAUGCUAUGAAUGCUGAAAUGAAAUCUGAAAUUCAAGAAGCAGAGGGGAACUUUAUCAUA
RNAcentral lists this long non-coding RNA (1471 nucleotides) under Homo sapiens (human). Its description in RNAcentral is "HSALNT0370854". Lineage: Eukaryota; Metazoa; Chordata; Mammalia; Primates; Hominidae. The record is from RNAcentral.